GCGAAAGUAGCUCAUCUGGUAGAGCGUCGCCUUGCCAAGGCGAAGGUAGCGGGUUCGAGCCCCGUCUUUCGCUCCA
RNAcentral lists this transfer RNA (76 nucleotides) under Clostridia bacterium. RNAcentral's name for it is "tRNA-Gly". It matches the Rfam family "tRNA". From Rfam's summary of the family: Transfer RNA (tRNA) molecules are approximately 80 nucleotides in length. Lineage: Bacteria; Bacillati; Bacillota; Clostridia. The record is from RNAcentral.